This 253-nucleotide unclassified non-coding RNA is filed under the name uncultured Gaiellales bacterium. Its description in RNAcentral is "contains 16S-23S intergenic spacer region". It matches the Rfam family "Bacterial small subunit ribosomal RNA", at positions 524 to 776 of the family's 1533-position model. The record is from RNAcentral. Lineage: Bacteria; Bacillati; Actinomycetota; Thermoleophilia; Gaiellales.
UACGUAGGGAGCAAGCGUUGUCCGGAAUUAUUGGGCGUAAAGAGCGUGUAGGCGGCCCUGCAAGUCCGAUGUGAAAACCGGAGGCUCAACCUCCGGCUUGCAUUGGAAACUGUAGGGCUAGAGUCCGGAAGAGGAGAGUGGAAUUCCUGGUGUAGCGGUGAAAUGCGCAGAUAUCAGGAGGAACACCUGUGGCGAAGGCGGCUCUCUGGUACGUGACUGACGCUGAGACGCGAAAGCGUGGGUAGCGAACAGG